Molecule: long non-coding RNA, 881 nt
Organism: Mobula hypostoma (lesser devil ray)
Lineage: Eukaryota; Metazoa; Chordata; Chondrichthyes; Myliobatiformes; Myliobatidae
Exons: 3
Source: RefSeq, a predicted model, not a curated record
UUGGGUGCAGAAAAGUCUACAGAAAGUAAUGGAAACCGCCCAGUCUAUCACAGGCAAAUCCCACCCCAGGAUUGAGAACACUGACAAGCAGCACUACCACAAGAACGGAGCGUCCGUCAUCAAGGACCCCCACCAUCCAGGCCAUGCUCGUUUCUCACUACCACCAUCGGGCAGGAGCUGGAUUUCAAUCAUUGCUGCCUCAUUGCCCUUCAGAACAGUGCAGCCUCAUGGUUACACAGAACUUGGAACAUGAGGAUGAUACAGAUGCAAGAUGGCAGAACAGGCGGUUUUCACGCUCCAUACUAAUCGUGUCGAUGCCAUGGAGAAGAAAGCUCACCAGCGCCUCUGCUACUCCAGGAGGCUAAAGAAAUCUGGCGUGUCCCCUCUGGCCCUCCCCACUGUUCAUUGAUGCACCAUAGAAACCAUCCUAUGCGGAUGCAUCGCCGCUUGGUAUGGCAAAUGCUCUGCGUGUGACCGCAAGAAACUGCAGAGAGUUGUGGACGCAGCGCAGCACAGCACAGAGACCAACCUCCCAUUUGUGGCCUCUGUCCAUACUUCUGACUGCCUCUGUAAUGCAGUCAACAUAAUCAAAGGCCCCACACACACGCACGUUCUCUCUUCCAUCAGGCAGAAGAUACAAAAGCCUGAAAGGAUGUACCACCAGGCUGAAGAAGACUUUCUAUCCCAUUGUUAUAAGACUAUUGAACUCUUCCUAAGAAUGAACUCUUGACCUCACAAUCUACAUCAUUAUGACCUGACACCUUAUUGUAUAUCUGCACUGCACUUUCUCUAUAACUAUAAUACUUCAUUCCGCACCAUUAUUGUUUCACCUUGUACUACCACAAUGCACUGUUGUAAUAAAUUGACCUGUAUAAAUGGUA